UACGUAGGGUGCGAGCGUUGUCCGGAAUUAUUGGGCGUAAAGGGCUCGUAGGCGGUUUGUCGCGUCAGGAGUGAAAACUCGGGGCUUAACCCCGAGCCUGCUUCUGAUACGGGCAGACUAGAGGUAUGCAGGGGAGAACGGAAUUCCUGGUGUAGCGGUGAAAUGCGCAGAUAUCUGGAGGAACACCGGUGGCGAAGGCGACAUCCUGGACCGGUAUUGACGCUGAGGCGCGAAAGCCAGGGGAGCAAAGCGGG
RNAcentral lists this ribosomal RNA (254 nucleotides) under uncultured bacterium. RNAcentral's name for it is "partial 16S ribosomal RNA". It matches the Rfam family "Bacterial small subunit ribosomal RNA", at positions 524 to 777 of the family's 1533-position model. The record is from RNAcentral.